AUACGUAGGGGGCGAGCGUUGUCCGGAAUGAUUGGGCGUAAAGGGCGCGUAGGCGGCGCGGUAAGUCUGGAGUGAAAGUCCUGCUUUAAAGGUGGGAAUUGCUUUGGAUACUGCCGCGCUUGAGUGCAGGAGAGGUUAUCGGAAUUCCCGGUGUAGCGGUGAAAUGCGUAGAGAUCGGGAGGAACACCAGUGGCGAAGGCGGGUAACUGGACUGCAACUGACGCUGAGGCGCGAAAGUGUGGGGAGCAAACAGGAUUAGAUACCCUGGUAGUCCACACUGUAAACGAUGAAUGCUAGGUGUAAGAGGUAUCGACCCCUUUUGUGCCGGAGUCAACACAAUAAGCAUUCCGCCUGGGGAGUACGGCCGCAAGGUUGAAACUUAAAGGAAUCGACGGGG
RNAcentral lists this ribosomal RNA (397 nucleotides) under uncultured bacterium. RNAcentral describes it as "partial 16S ribosomal RNA". It matches the Rfam family "Bacterial small subunit ribosomal RNA", at positions 523 to 918 of the family's 1533-position model. The record is from RNAcentral.